RNAcentral lists this ribosomal RNA (223 nucleotides) under uncultured Lactobacillus sp. Its description in RNAcentral is "partial 16S ribosomal RNA". It matches the Rfam family "Bacterial small subunit ribosomal RNA", at positions 139 to 354 of the family's 1533-position model. The record is from RNAcentral. Lineage: Bacteria; Bacillati; Bacillota; Bacilli; Lactobacillales; Lactobacillaceae.
AGUAACAACCUGGAAACAAGAUAGCUAAUACCGGAUAACAACAGAUGAUGCCUAUCAACUGUUUAAAAGAUGGUUCUGCUAUCACUCUUGGAUGGACCUGCGGUGCAUUAGCUAGUUGGUAGGGUAACGGCCUACCAAGGCGAUGAUGCAUAGCCGAGUUGAGAGACUGAUCGGCCACAUUGGGACUGAGACACGGCCCAAACUCCUACUGGAGGCAGCAGAC